This is a non-coding RNA of Gossypium raimondii (Peruvian cotton), 107 nucleotides long. The record is from Rfam. NCBI's taxonomy places the organism in Eukaryota, Viridiplantae, Streptophyta, Magnoliopsida, Malvales, Malvaceae.
AAACCAUGGUGAGGGCAUCUUUGUACCAGCGACUUGAAUCCUUCCCAAGCUUUGUGAAAGUUUUCUUUCUCUAAUUUCUUAAAUAUGGCAAUCUCUCUUCUCAGUUG